GCUCAGAGUAUAAGCCGAUGGAGCUUGGAAGGCUUCCGCAGUCUUGGGCAUCACACGUGGUGUUUCGGAAGGCAUGUAGCACGGAUCGUUAGGCAAAGCAUUUAGUUUGCCGAAUAGCUGUUGUACAGGGAUUUUGUUCGGGGGUCUUAGGCUUCGGCCGAAGGGCUCCAGCUCGUUUCCCAUUGAACGGACGUUCAGAGCUACUGUGUCUAAUGCGGUUACGCCCACCACGGCACGUUGUGAGGUCACCCACAGGCUCAAACUGCCGAUCGCGCAUCCAGGACGAUGGCAACGAUGCGUUUUCUUUGCUUCAGCAUUCGGAGCAAUGACGCGUGUCUAGUCCUGGGUCGGGCGGCGACCGAGAUAUACCUGGUAUGAUCCUCUUGCGACGAGCUGCUUUCUGGCCAGACCAACGUCCGGGCGCUUCCACUGUGCCGGAAGUGUCUAUCCCAGGCGGUAUGACCCAGAUGCAUUGUGCAAGGUCUCUCAGCCGGGCGUUGGUCUGAGUGGUGUUAAGUCCAGCACCAUCGGUCACGUCUCGAAACACGGGCCAAGGAGUAUAGCAUGUGUGCAAGUCUAAGGGUCUCACAAAACCCGAAGGCGAAGUGAAAGCAAGACUGUGGCGGGGGAGCUAUGGUGAACCCGCCGGCCUAGUUGCACACUGUGUUGCAUGGCUUUUAGCAGAGCUGAUCCUGUUUUCUCGGUUAAUUCUUGGUGCAGGCGCAAGCUCCGGGCUCACGUACAGCACUGGUCANCCUCG
Molecule: ribosomal RNA, 760 nt
Filed under: Niphargus multipennatus
Lineage: Eukaryota; Metazoa; Arthropoda; Malacostraca; Amphipoda; Niphargidae
Description: partial 28S ribosomal RNA
Source: RNAcentral